AGUUAAUUUUAUUGGAUAAUGAAGCCAUGGGUUUACAUGUUUUUUAUUUUAAUCCCAGUUUUUCUAUCUUUCUUCACGUUGGAGAGAAACACUGUUAUCUGAACGGUAAGUUCCCUCACGGCUAACAGCGUUCCCAGGAAUCGGCUUUAUAUGCGGCUCAGCAGCCAAGCCCGUUCACUUUCAGAAUGAGAUUAAAGAGGACUGAGUCUCGCUGGCCCGGCUGUGCGUCUGGUGGCGUCAGCGCCUCUGCGAGACGGGCUUUCACGGGCUCCUACUGUCAGCAAAACAAUUGUUUCUGGCUGACGCCCGGCACACACGGCUCUCAGCCAAAUGCAUUUUUUGAAGGGUAGAAUGCGAUCUCAAUAAUCCCAUUCAGCUUUGUUGAGGAGAGCGAGGAGAAAGAAUGCACCCUAGCUUCUGAUUCUGUCACAUUUUUAUUUUAAUUCUAAAUGCCGUCCGUACCCUUGGCUGGCAGUGAGCUUUCUGCACGGCCGGCAUCUUGGCUCCUUUGGAAAGGCAACCCUCGUUCACACAAGUCAGAGUUUUAUGAACGGCCGCCCCACUUCCCCGCCGUGGCUGUGCUGCGGUGUUGACCCAACACGACACACAGAUCCCUCUGUCCCCCGCUGGACUCCGGCCAGGCAUCUUCGGUCUGUGGAGCAAGAUCACUCAGCCCUGGAAAUCUCAGGGCAACAAAAAGCCUCUGUUCAUUCAUGACGGACUUUGAACAGAAAGGGCCCCGGCCACACCACAGGGGCCGGAAUCACGGAUGGGCGCCAGGGAGACAGCUCUUCAAUGAGUGCACGGAGCCCACGUUUAGUUUUUGGGGAGUGGGCAUGAGCCCAAGUCAGCACUCGUCUGUGUCAGUGAGGAGGUACCCCACAACUCAAAACCAAAAAGAAGACCUCCAUGAGUGCAGACCUCGUGAGACUGCUGUGUUCAGGCUCAACCCACAGGCCGUGAAACUUGAGUUGUCUGGCUCCUGGAAGGAAGGGGACCCCCGGCCGCUGGUGCCCGAGGGGAAAGCCUGUCCAGGUGGGUCCAGAAGCUGGGCCGAUGGAGCCAGAGAGGCCACUCCGCUCACCCGCUCUUCACCCCUGUGAGGAAAGACUCCUGUCCUGAGUGGGGGCACACCUGGUGAGGUCAGGGGACUCAUGGUCAGGCCUGGGGGACACUGCGUGCCUCCAAGACGUCAAGGUGGCCCUUGGUGUUUCAGGCCUUAAAUACAAGGGUCUUGCCGGCCAUGGUGAGACUUUUAAAAGUUGGCUUGAUGUUCAAAUGAAGGCACCCCAGCUCCUGUUA
Long non-coding RNA from Phyllostomus discolor (pale spear-nosed bat), 1302 nucleotides. RefSeq lists it as uncharacterized. The record is from RefSeq and is a predicted model, not a curated record. The transcript is spliced from 2 exons. Lineage: Eukaryota; Metazoa; Chordata; Mammalia; Chiroptera; Phyllostomidae.